GACGAACCGCCCGAACGUUAUUCGGAAUCACUGGGCUUAAAGGGUGCGUAGGCGGCCCGGCAAGUUGGGUGUGAAAUCCCUCGGCUCAACCGAGGAACGGCGCCCAAAACUGCCAGGCUAGAGGGAGAUAGAGGUGAGCGGAACUUAUGGUGGAGCGGUGAAAUGCGUUGAUAUCAUAAGGAACACCUGUGGCGAAAGCGGCUCACUGGAUCUUUUCUGACGCUGAGGCACGAAAGCUAGGGGAGCGAACGGG
Molecule: ribosomal RNA, 253 nt
Filed under: uncultured bacterium
Lineage: Bacteria
Description: partial 16S ribosomal RNA
Rfam family: Bacterial small subunit ribosomal RNA
Source: RNAcentral